This 297-nucleotide ribosomal RNA is filed under the name Avena fatua. RNAcentral's name for it is "partial 18S ribosomal RNA". It matches the Rfam family "Eukaryotic small subunit ribosomal RNA", at positions 583 to 885 of the family's 1831-position model. Lineage: Eukaryota; Viridiplantae; Streptophyta; Magnoliopsida; Poales; Poaceae. The record is from RNAcentral.
UUCCAGCUCCAAUAGCGUAUAUUAAAGUUGUUGUGGUUAAAAAGCUCGUAGUUGAACCUUGGGCCUGGCCGUCCGGUCCGCCUCACCGCGUGUACUGGCUCGGCCGGGCCUUUCCCUCUGUGGAACCCCAUGCCCUUCACUGGGCGUGGCGGGGAAACAGGACUUUUACUGUGAAAAAAUUAGAGUGCUCCAGGCAGGCCUAUGCUCGAAUACAUUAGCAUGGAAUAAUAGAAUAGGACGUGUGGUUCUAUUUUGUUGGUUUCUAGGACCGCCGUAAUGAUUAAUAGGGACAGUCGA